UAUUAAAAAUUUCCCUAUUCGUACUGUUAAAAAUCGACGUGGUCAAAUAGUAUGUACCUCAUGCUGAUGUAUAAGGAUCAAUUUUUAACAAUAAAAAUUAAUGAAAUUUUUAACA
This 115-nucleotide microRNA precursor is filed under the name Gossypium arboreum. RNAcentral's name for it is "MIR7502 microRNA precursor family". It matches the Rfam family "MIR7502 microRNA precursor family". Lineage: Eukaryota; Viridiplantae; Streptophyta; Magnoliopsida; Malvales; Malvaceae. The record is from Rfam by way of RNAcentral.